RNAcentral lists this transfer RNA (77 nucleotides) under Minisyncoccota bacterium. RNAcentral's name for it is "tRNA-Thr". It matches the Rfam family "tRNA". Rfam says of the family: Transfer RNA (tRNA) molecules are approximately 80 nucleotides in length. Lineage: Bacteria; Bacillati; Minisyncoccota. The record is from RNAcentral.
GCCGAGAUAGCUCAGUUGGCUAGAGCACCUGCUUUGUAACCAGGAGGUCAAGGGUUCGACCCCCUUUCUCGGCUCCA